AAGCGAAUGGCAGGGCAAUUCUCCUUUGGCGUAAGCAAGAACAACCUCAACAUUUGCAUGCAUGACAGUGCAGUUCUCUUAUGCCAAAGGAGAAUUGCCCUGUUAUUCGCCA
Molecule: non-coding RNA, 112 nt
Organism: Eucalyptus grandis
Lineage: Eukaryota; Viridiplantae; Streptophyta; Magnoliopsida; Myrtales; Myrtaceae
Source: Rfam